This 306-nucleotide long non-coding RNA is filed under the name Ricinus communis (castor bean). RNAcentral describes it as "long non-coding RNA (RCOM_LNC001391)". Lineage: Eukaryota; Viridiplantae; Streptophyta; Magnoliopsida; Malpighiales; Euphorbiaceae. The record is from RNAcentral.
AGCAUACCCAGAUUCCAAGUACUGUGAAAGACAUAUGCAUAGAGGCAGAAAUCGUUCAAGAAAGCCUGUGGAACUUACUUCUUCAACUACUAAUAACACAACAGCUAGUACAGUGACAAAUCCUUCACUAUCAAUCAACAGAAGCCUCUCUGCCACCACCACUAAUAACAAUACUACUUCACCUUCUGGCUCCUCUUACUCUUUCUCUCCUCUUUCUUCACCUAUGGAACCUGAAUUCCAUGCUUCUGGCCACAACAACAUCCUCAGUCCAUUUCCUUACUCUCAUUCUUCAUCAUCUAGACCUCA